RNAcentral lists this long non-coding RNA (872 nucleotides) under Bos indicus x Bos taurus (hybrid cattle). Its description in RNAcentral is "lncRNA (ENSBIXG00005009116.1)". Lineage: Eukaryota; Metazoa; Chordata; Mammalia; Artiodactyla; Bovidae. The record is from RNAcentral.
GUAGAACCAUUAUUUGGGGGGCUUGGCUUCCGGAAAACUCAAACCACGUCACAUUAGAAAAGGUCAGGAGGCAUUUCCACAGGGAUGCAGACCUGACAUUUUUUCUCAUGUUCUCAACCUUUCAUCUGGAGCAGAGACCACCCCCUCCCUGCUGACCCAAUGCAUCCACCAGAGGCAUCCCUGGCCACCUAGUUCCCUGGACCAAGAUGAGGCCUUGCUAUGUCCCAGGCCCUGCUGGGAUCCCCCUCCACCUCCUGAUGCUGCUGAUAGCCACAAAGGGAAGCAGAGAAGUGAACCCCAGUGGCCACCACACUGCAAGCAUCAGGAAACAUUUACUGCCUAGAAGGAUGACCUCUGGUGAUUCAGUUUCUCCACUGGAAAAAGUCCUCCAUGCCCCUCUCUCCAUUCUCUAUACAGUGUGAGUAUAGCCUCAGUUGCAUUAUAUAAUGGCUGCUAGUGUUCUGGACCUAGGUGAGUAUGGUGCACUAAAGAAGGUCAUUGAGUUUUUUUUUCCAUUUUUCUCUCAGAAAGUGAUAUUUUUUCCCCUUAAAUCUGAAUUGGCUUUGUGACUACUUUAACCAGUAAAAUAUAGUGGAAAUGAUGCUGUGACAAUUCUAAGGUUAGCCUUCAGAAGGCUUGGAUGUGUCCACUUUUGUACUCUUAGGAGCCCUGAGAUACCAUGUAAUAAGGCUAGCUAUCUUGCUGGGGAGGCCGUGAAGAAAGGCCACAAUCAGAGGACAAGCAUAGAGAAGGCGGCCCUGAAACACGGGUAAAGAGAGGCCCCAACAUCCCAGCAGCCCAGCUUAUCCCAGCCUUCUAGCAUGAACAACCAAGGCACCAGAUAGGUGAGUGAGCCAUUUUGGAUGUUGCAG